ACGGAGGGUGCAAGCGUUAUUCGGAAUUACUGGGCGUAAAGCGCGUGUAGGCGGUCCUGCAAGUCUGAUGUGAAAGCCCCGGGCUUAACCCGGGAAGUGCAUUGGAAACUGUGGGACUUGAGUACUGGAGAGGAUGGGGGAAUUCCCGGUGUGGAGGUGAAAUCCGAAGAGUUGGGGAGGAAUAUCGGGGGGGAGGGCGCCCUCCGGGACGUUAACUGCGGUGGAGAGGCGAAAGCGUGGGAGCAAACAG
RNAcentral lists this ribosomal RNA (250 nucleotides) under uncultured prokaryote. RNAcentral describes it as "partial 16S rRNA". It matches the Rfam family "Bacterial small subunit ribosomal RNA", at positions 525 to 775 of the family's 1533-position model. The record is from RNAcentral.